RNAcentral lists this ribosomal RNA (254 nucleotides) under uncultured prokaryote. RNAcentral's name for it is "partial 16S ribosomal RNA". It matches the Rfam family "Bacterial small subunit ribosomal RNA", at positions 524 to 777 of the family's 1533-position model. The record is from RNAcentral.
UACGGAGGAUGCAAGCGUUAUCCGGAUUUAUUGGGUUUAAAGGGUGCGCAGGUUGUUUGAUAAGUCAGUGGUGAAAGUCUGUCGCUUAACGGUAGGAUUGCCAUUGAUACUGUUAGACUUGAAUAUGGAUGAGGUAGGCGGAAUGUGUAGUGUAGCGGUGAAAUGCAUAGAUAUUACACAGAACACCGAUUGCGAAGGCAGCUUACUAAUCCAUAAUUGACGCUGAGGCACGAAAGCGUGGGGAUCAAACAGGA